RNAcentral lists this ribosomal RNA (254 nucleotides) under uncultured bacterium. Its description in RNAcentral is "partial 16S ribosomal RNA". It matches the Rfam family "Bacterial small subunit ribosomal RNA", at positions 524 to 776 of the family's 1533-position model. The record is from RNAcentral.
UACGAAGGGGGCUAGCGUUGUUCGGAUUUUACUGGGCGUAAAGCGCACGUAGGCGGAUCUUUAAGUCAGAGGUGAAAUCCCAAGGCUCAACCUUGGAACUGCCUUUGAUACUGGGGAUCUUGAGUCCGGGAGAGGUGAGUGGAACUGCGAGUGUAGAGGUGAAAUUCGUAGAUAUUCGCAAGAACACCAGUGGCGAAGGCGGCUCACUGGCCCGGAACUGACGCUGAGACGCGAAAGCGUGGGGAGCAAACAGG